RNAcentral lists this ribosomal RNA (253 nucleotides) under uncultured bacterium. RNAcentral describes it as "partial 16S ribosomal RNA". It matches the Rfam family "Bacterial small subunit ribosomal RNA", at positions 524 to 776 of the family's 1533-position model. The record is from RNAcentral.
UACGGGGGGGGCAAGCGUUGUUCGGAAUUACUGGGCGUAAAGGGCUCGUAGGUGGCCAACUAAGUCAUACGUGAAAUCCCUCGGCUUAACCGGGGAACUGCGUCUGAUACUGGAUGGCUUGAGGUUGGGAGAGGGAUGCGGAAUUCCAGGUGUAGCGGUGAAAUGCGUAGAUAUCUGGAGGAACACCGGUGGCGAAGGCGGCAUCCUGGACCGAGACUGACACUGAGGAGCGAAAGCCAGGGGAGCAAACGGG